GAUGAACGCUAGCGAUAGGCCUAACACAUGCAAGUCGAGGGGCAUCACAUGAAGUAGCAAUACGGAUGGUGGCGACCGGCGCACGGGUGAGUAACACGUAUGCAACCUGCCUUCAACAAGGGGAUAACCCGUUGAAAGACGGACUAAUACCCUAUAACACAGGGGUCCCGCAUGGGAAUAUUUGUUAAAGGACAACCGGUUGAAGAUGGGCAUGCGUUCCAUUAGCUAGUUGGCGGGGUAAGGCCCACCAAGGCAACGAUGGAUAGGGGAACUGAGAGGUUUAUCCCCCACACUGGUACUGAGACACGGACCAGACUCCUACGGGAGGCAGCAGUGAGGAAUAUUGGUCAAUGGACGCAAGUCUGAACCAGCCACGUCGCGUGAAGGAAGACGGCCCUACGGGUUGUAAACUUCUUUUGCAAGGGAUAAAGUGGGCCACGUGUGGCCUUUUGCAAGUACCUUGCGAAUAAGGAUCGGCUAACUCCGUG
Molecule: ribosomal RNA, 488 nt
Filed under: uncultured bacterium
Lineage: Bacteria
Description: bacterial SSU rRNA
Rfam family: Bacterial small subunit ribosomal RNA
Source: RNAcentral